RNAcentral lists this transfer RNA (94 nucleotides) under Amylolactobacillus amylophilus. RNAcentral's name for it is "tRNA-Thr". Lineage: Bacteria; Bacillati; Bacillota; Bacilli; Lactobacillales; Lactobacillaceae. The record is from RNAcentral.
UUCCACUUGGUAAGGAUGUCUCGGGCCAGAUUAUUAGUGCUAAUCUGGCAGACAUGCCCCACCUUUUAAUCGCCGGUUCCACCGGUAGCGGGAA